Molecule: ribosomal RNA, 253 nt
Filed under: uncultured bacterium
Lineage: Bacteria
Description: partial 16S ribosomal RNA
Rfam family: Bacterial small subunit ribosomal RNA
Source: RNAcentral
GACAGAGGGUGCAAACGUUGUUCGGAUUUACUGGGCGUAAAGCGCGUGUAGGCGGCUUGGCAAGUUGGAUGUGAAAGCCCACGGCUCAACCGUGGAAGUGCACCCGAAACUGCGUAGCUAGAGUCCUGGAGAGGAAGGUGGAAUGCUUGGUGUAGAGGUGAAAUUCGUAGAUAUCAAGCGGAACACCGGUGGCGAAGGCGGCCUUCUGGACAGUGACUGACGCUGAGACGCGAAAGCGUGGGGAGCAAACAGG